RNAcentral lists this non-coding RNA (150 nucleotides) under Hypsibius dujardini. RNAcentral's name for it is "Eukaryotic large subunit ribosomal RNA". It matches the Rfam family "Eukaryotic large subunit ribosomal RNA", at positions 2825 to 2984 of the family's 3401-position model. The record is from Rfam by way of RNAcentral. Lineage: Eukaryota; Metazoa; Tardigrada; Eutardigrada; Parachela; Hypsibiidae.
GAUAACUGGCUUGUGGCGGCCCAGCGUUCAUAGCGACGUCGCUUUUUGAUAUUUUUGAUCCCUCGAUGUCGGCUCUUCCUAUCAUUGUGCUGCAACUAUCGCCCGCUAACAGGGGACAGGAGUUGGGUUUAGACCGUCGUGAAACAAAUU